CUCAGAUAAACAGAGGAGCGUUGAAAGAGCACAUGCGACUCUCCCGUUCUUCCCGUUCUUCUUCCUGUUUUACAGUGUUCUCAAUCUCCAGAUUCCUGUCUCGAGGUCUGUUGAGUCUCUCCACAACUAAAUCACCUCGCUGAUGGGUUCUCUGUUCUUCUGAAUCAUUCUCUGAGCUUUUGUCACUGUCUGACACUUUUCCAGAAGCAUCUUCUUUCGGCAGCCUUGACUGACACAUUACUCCUUCUGAUACUGCCCUUCGCCUCCCCAGUGAGGCUCUCAAUGGAUGGUGAUCUCUUCAUCUUCCUGUAAUCAGAGGUUAGUUUUGGCCUCUGCCACGAGCCUCCCCGAUCACCUCAGAAUAUCCUUUUUUAUCACACUCAUUUCAGGUCUUUAUCAUGUAAACCCAAUCGAGUCAAAAUUUUCAUUAAUUACAUUUAAUAUUUUCUAUUUGCACUAAUGGCGGACCACACAUACUCUGCACAAGAGCCGAUAGAGCGUCAAUCUGUGUCGUCAAAAAAUAGAAAAUGCGAUGCAGCAAGGCCAAGUCGAGACAAAAAAACAGCAGAAAACCCGAAUAAACAUCAAUUUACAAAAAGUAGGGCAUGAAGCAGGAAAUGGGUUUGCUAAGCGACGCUGAAGUUGCCAGCUUUCUGCUGGACCGCUAAAGAUCUGGUGAUGAUGCUGGAAAUGUCGAAAUGCAGGAUGGUGGUAAAUUCAACAAGAGAACAGGACAUCCUUCAGGGUUCCGUGGAUGGAAUGUAUGGUGCAGGUCUGCACAGUAUUCCUAAUCUUCACACACGAUCCGUUCCCGGCCGUCCCGCUGCGCGCGGAGGUGGGUACGAUUUACCAGCCGCUUUACUUCCGCAGUUACAGGAGAGCAUGCUGCCGCCAAUGAUGGAUACAAUUUUUUGGGGGAAAAACACUGCUGACAAACAACGUUGGACGUGCAUUAGAUGAACAUUUCUCAAAACAUCUUCCUCAGAAGGAAGUGUCAUUGAACAACAUGAGGCUUGUGGCAGCAAGAGCAAGAACCCUUGUAGAGAGAAAGAAGAUCCUUGCAUGAUGCACACUGAUGGGCAAUAAUAUGAACCUUUAUUCAUUACUUUUAAUGUUAUUUUAAUACAUUCACAGGUGCAUCAGCCUGCUCAU
Long non-coding RNA from Triplophysa dalaica, 1152 nucleotides. RefSeq lists it as uncharacterized. NCBI's taxonomy places the organism in Eukaryota, Metazoa, Chordata, Actinopteri, Cypriniformes, Nemacheilidae. The record is from RefSeq and is a predicted model, not a curated record. The transcript is spliced from 7 exons.